UACGGGGGGGGCAAGCGUUGUUCGGAAUUACUGGGCGUAAAGGGCUCGUAGGUGGCCAACUAAGUCAUACGUGAAAUCCCUCGGCUUAACCGGGGAACUGCGCCUGAUACUGGUUGGCUUGAGUUUGGGAGAGGGACGCGGAAUUCCUGGUGUAGCGGUGAAAUGCGCAGAUAUCAGGAGGAACACCGGUGGCGAAGGCGGGUCUCUGGGCCGAUACUGACGCUGAGGAGCGAAAGCGUGGGGAGCGAACAGG
RNAcentral lists this ribosomal RNA (253 nucleotides) under uncultured bacterium. Its description in RNAcentral is "partial 16S ribosomal RNA". It matches the Rfam family "Bacterial small subunit ribosomal RNA", at positions 524 to 776 of the family's 1533-position model. The record is from RNAcentral.